RNAcentral lists this ribosomal RNA (497 nucleotides) under uncultured bacterium. RNAcentral describes it as "partial 16S ribosomal RNA". It matches the Rfam family "Bacterial small subunit ribosomal RNA", at positions 28 to 507 of the family's 1533-position model. The record is from RNAcentral.
GACGAACGCUGGCGGCGUGCCUAAUACAUGCAAGUUGAGCGCUGAAGGUUGGUACUUGUACCAACUGGAUGAGCAGCGAACGGGUGAGUAACGCGUGGGGAAUCUGCCUUUGAGCGGGGGACAACAUUUGGAAACGAAUGCUAAUACCGCAUAAAAACUUUAAACACAAGUUUUAAGUUUGAAAGUUGCAAUUGCAUCACUCAAAGAUGAUCCCGCGUUGUAUUAGCUAGUUGGUGAGGUAAAGGCUCACCAAGGCGAUGAUACAUAGCCGACCUGAGAGGGUGAUCGGCCACAUUGGGACUGAGACACGGCCCAAACUCCUACGGGAGGCAGCAGUAGGGAAUCUUCGGCAAUGGACGAAAGUCUGACCGAGCAACGCCGCGUGAGUGAAGAAGGUUUUCGGAUCGUAAAACUCUGUUGGUAGAGAAGAACGUUGGUGAGAGUGGAAAGCUCAUCAAGUGACGGUAACUACCCAGAAAGGGACGGCUAACUACGUG